CAGUAGCCGCGGGAAUACGUAGGGCGCAAGCGUUGUCCGGAAUUAUUGGGCGUAAAGAGCUCGUAGGCGGUCUGUCGCGUCUGGUGUGAAAUCCCGAGGCUCAACCUUGGGCUUGCAUCGGGUACGGGCAGACUAGAGUGCGGUAGGGGAGACUGGAAUUCCUGGUGUAGCGGUGGAAUGCGCAGAUAUCAGGAGGAACACCGAUGGCGAAGGCAGGUCUCUGGGCCGCAACUGACGCUGAGGAGCGAAAGCAUGGGGAGCGAACAGGAUUAGAUACCCCAGUAGUCCCUGUCUCUUAUAA
RNAcentral lists this ribosomal RNA (301 nucleotides) under uncultured bacterium. Its description in RNAcentral is "partial 16S ribosomal RNA". It matches the Rfam family "Bacterial small subunit ribosomal RNA", at positions 509 to 809 of the family's 1533-position model. The record is from RNAcentral.